This 253-nucleotide ribosomal RNA is filed under the name uncultured Methanomassiliicoccales archaeon. RNAcentral's name for it is "partial 16S ribosomal RNA". It matches the Rfam family "Archaeal small subunit ribosomal RNA", at positions 474 to 727 of the family's 1478-position model. Lineage: Archaea; Methanobacteriati; Thermoplasmatota; Thermoplasmata; Methanomassiliicoccales. The record is from RNAcentral.
UACCCGCGCCCCACGUGGUGGUCGAUCAUAUUGAGCCUAAAACGUCCGUAGCCGGUCUUCUAAAUCCUUGGGUAAAUCGGGCAGCUUAACUGUCCGAAGUCCGGGGAGACUGGGAGACUUGGGACCGGGAGAGGUCAGAGGUACUUCUGGGGUAGGGGUAAAAUCCUGUAAUCCUGGAAGGACCACCGGUGGCGAAGGCGUCUGACUAGAACGGAUCCGACGGUGAGGGACGAAGCCCUGGGGCGCAAACGGG